Molecule: long non-coding RNA, 402 nt
Organism: Physeter macrocephalus (sperm whale)
Lineage: Eukaryota; Metazoa; Chordata; Mammalia; Artiodactyla; Physeteridae
Exons: 3
Source: RefSeq, a predicted model, not a curated record
AUGGGGACACAGAGAGACGCAAGGAAAAGUCCUGGGGAGAAGUCCAGAAGUUUCCUCGCAAGCCUGUGGAAGGCAAAGGGCCAGCUUCUAGUACAGGACAGGGAGAACCAGAAAGUUCAGGUCACUCAACUGCAAAACGAAGGUCAUGUUGCCCGCCGCGGAGCCUGCUCUGGGAGCUGCGUGGACUGGUACAGCGGCCAGGGGGGCCCAGCUGAGGAUGAACCGGCUGCCUGAGAAGACGGUGUGGUCCCGUCACCGAGGGGACUCCUGUGAAAACUGCUGAGGUCCUGCCAGUGUCUCUUGGGGAGGAAGUGGCCAGACGGAGGCUCCAAGUCAGCGAUCUUUCCCUCCACCACCUCCUGUGCUUCCUCCUGCCCCUUUCUACUUUCAUCUCAUCUUGUU